AUACGGAGGGGGCAAGCGUUGUUCGGAUUUACUGGGCGUAAAGCGCGCGUAGGCGGUCUGUUUAGUCAGGCGUGAAAUCCCUGGGCUCAACCCAGGAACUGCGUUUGAUACUGGCGGACUAGAGUUCGGGAGAGGAGAGUGGAAUUCCCAGUGUAGAGGUGAAAUUCGUAGAUAUUGGGAAGAACACCAGUGGCGAAGGCGGCUCUCUGGACCGAUACUGACGCUGAGGUGCGAAAGCUAGGGUAGCAAACAGGAUUAGAAACCCCAGUAGUCC
This 274-nucleotide ribosomal RNA is filed under the name uncultured bacterium. RNAcentral describes it as "partial 16S ribosomal RNA". It matches the Rfam family "Bacterial small subunit ribosomal RNA", at positions 523 to 796 of the family's 1533-position model. The record is from RNAcentral.